AUGAUAGCCCAUUGAGAUGACUUCUAUCUGCAGGUAAUUUGUCAGGCUUAUGUAAGACUUCAUUUAAGAGGCAUUGCCUUGGCAUGCAGACAGCUUCCAGACUUUACACACCAGCAGAAACAUGUUAUCUGAAGAUGCAAGGAAGCAAAUUAAAUUCAUUGCUCAGCACCCGGCCGCAGACAAGUGCUGCGAUACAUUUUCGGAAUAAAGCUUUUCUUAAAAAUAAUUUUUUUUUUCUUUUUGAAAAAAGGCCAUUUGAAAUUCAGCCUCCCCAGCUUACAUCUUGAUGGCUUCCAACCCAAGGAAACUUGCAAUGUAUGGGAGUCACAAGCCUUAUUUCAAGCCCAGUUAUUCUUGUCCUCUUAGCUGGGAUAAGCAGCGUCAUUAACGGAACAAAUAAUUUCCCUUUGCAGUUGUGCUGAGCAGGCUGAGUGCCCGGGGCUUGGCGUGAGGAGAGGGGGAAAAGUUCUCAUCACCACAGGGCCUGCAGACGUGGAUAAGGUGGCAUAGCAGGUGUUAGCUGUCCUGGUGUUAUUGGAGUCUCGUUUCUCUGGGGUUCAGGUUACUGCAAGCUUCACUCAUCUUCCUGCUGCAGGACUGACUUUGGGGAGCAGGCUGGAGGCAUGAGGAAGCCCAGAGCUGGACCCCAACCCCAAGUCUGAACCGUUGAUCUGGGGAGCAAGUUAUGUGGCAAAACCCGUCCAGUCGUGACGCCAGCCCAGCCUCCAUCAGCUCUGGCGUCUGAGUGGCAGUUGAAGGGCAUCUAAUUAGGCGCCCUCGGCCACAGAGGUGCGGGAUGUGGCUGUGGGUUCAAGCAGUAUCUUCGCUGAGAAAGCCUUUCUCCCAUUUGACUUGGAAGGAGAGUGGGAGCAGGUCAGGCUGAGGGGGUGGACAUGCCAGCAGGUCCCGAACGCCAGGAGACAGCAGGGUAAGUGUCCAGCCACCCCUGUGACGGACGCUCUCGGUGUGGACGCCAAAGGGGAUUUUGUUACAGCUCAGGUGCGGGUCACGGCCUGUCCAUCUCCAGGCAUGGGCUUCCCACAGCCAACUUUUCUUUAAGUUCUAAUAGAGCAUUGUUAAGCGUGAGAUCUCACAAAUGUGCUUUUCCAAUAUUUCGCAUACAUCUUGAAUUGGCAGCUAAAGACAAGG
RNAcentral lists this long non-coding RNA (1149 nucleotides) under Sus scrofa (pig). RNAcentral's name for it is "lncRNA (ENSSSCG00015053947.1)". Lineage: Eukaryota; Metazoa; Chordata; Mammalia; Artiodactyla; Suidae. The record is from RNAcentral.